Oncorhynchus tshawytscha (Chinook salmon) is the source of this 650-nucleotide long non-coding RNA. RefSeq lists it as uncharacterized. The record is from RefSeq and is a predicted model, not a curated record. NCBI's taxonomy places the organism in Eukaryota, Metazoa, Chordata, Actinopteri, Salmoniformes, Salmonidae. The transcript is spliced from 3 exons.
GUUUAACCCGAACCCUUCAAGGUCACCCAAGUUGAGGUUCACGUCGAAGGUAUCAACGUCAACGAAAGUCAAUCUUAAUCGAACCUAACCUACAUGGAUAAAAAUAUAAACCAUGGAAAGACACGUUAGUGUGUUAUUGGAGGGCGAGAGUCCCAAAAUGUAAAAAUGCAGCGGAAGUCAACUUCAUCACUGCCCCUUCGGCACAUAUAAGGCUGAACAAUAUAUGGUCAACAACCACAUCAAAGGUCAACAACCACAUCAAAGGUCAACAACCACAUCAAAGGUCAACAACCACAUCAAAGGUCAUGCUUCGGUGAGGCACAGAGAGUUCACAAUCAUGAAGUGUGGCUUCAGUUGUAGAAAUGCGACACACUUUCAUUGUUGCUAUUGCACGGCAACAAUAGUCAACAGAACACCGUUUCUGAAGCACCUGACAUACCAUCAGCAUCCAGUGGCCCUUCAAGAGCACCCAGAGGCCCGGUGUUAUGUUAUUUAGUGAAGAUGAUGUAGAUGUCAUCCCGAGUCUCUGAUGUCUUUACUGGAGCUGGUGUAACUUAAUGUAAACUCAAAAAAAGAAACGUCCCUUUUUCAGGACCCUGUCUUUCAAAGAUAAUUUGUAAAAAUCCACCUAUGCACCUGUGGAACGGUCG